This 1609-nucleotide long non-coding RNA is filed under the name Pogona vitticeps (central bearded dragon). RNAcentral's name for it is "lncRNA (ENSPVIG00000010302.1)". The record is from RNAcentral. Lineage: Eukaryota; Metazoa; Chordata; Lepidosauria; Squamata; Agamidae.
AAUGGUUCUUGUUCAAGGCAGCUUGCGCUCUUUUGAUCUUAACCCGCCGCUUCAAUGAUGACAAUUAAAAAAAAAAAUCUUGGUCAGGAAAAAAAAAGUCAUGGGGGAGUGAGAGGAGCCGGCAAGAGGCCAGGUCAAUCGUGCCUUUAAUUUUUUUUUUCUCCUUUUCUUUUCAAAUUCCACAGAGCAACUCAGGCCCUCUCUAAUCAGCAAUUAACAAAUGCCAGUCUAUCGCCUGUUCUCCUCCUCGCCAUUAAAUCGCCGAUCAAAGAGCAAUUAGAAGCCUCUGCUCCCACUGGCCCAGCUCUUUUGAUGUGGAAAUCGAGCCCCGUUGUGAAUCUGUUCCCCCGGCUGAAGUCACUUUUUGCUGACAAAUAUUAUCUGGAAAAGACAAUGCCGGGAAAGGUUGGAGGCAUCAGGAAAAGAGGAAGACCACACGCGAGAUGGACUGGCUCCCUAAAGGAAACCACAGGCUUCAGUUUGCAAGAGCUGAGCAGGGCUGUUGUGAAGCGGACAUUUGGGGGAUCUCUCUUUCAUAGGGUUGACCUCACACGUAACAACACACUGUUGACCGAGAAGAAAACUUGUCCCUUCACCCAACUCUUUUAAAGAUAUUCUGAUUGUAAACCAAGGCACACUUCGUAGGAAAUAGUAAUCCCCUCUUGGGCCCCAUUGAAUUGUCUGUAGAAAAUAUACCCAUAGGCUAGGACUACGAGAAAGGGAUGGGCGAUUCCUAGAGAAUCAGAAGCGCCGCUCGUCUCCAUUUUAAUUGGAGGUCAACCACAGUGUGUUGGCUAGUAGUUACUCCCAAGUCGGCCCAAGAUCACGGUGUGAGGUGGAAGUUAAAUGGGGGUGGAGCAGAUUGUAGUACUUUACACACGGCGAGAGUUGAGGUCCUAGGAGUGUUUACUCCGAUAUAACUCCCAUCGGCAUCGAUGGGACUUAUGUCGAGUGUGUGUGUGGGGGCUCUUAUCCUCCCCCCCAUGAAGCAUCGAUUUGUUAUUACGGUGCACAGGUAACCGCGCUGUGGCGGCGUGGGUCGCGGUCUGCGCCCGGAUUAGGCAACCAGACGCACCUACAUCACCCCACCCCCGGAAAAAUUCCUGCGGAGACUUUUUCAUUCCAAGACACGUAUGUCGGAGCAUAGCUUAAAGAAGCUGGGGGGGGGGAGAGAGAGAGAGAAAAGAAGUUGCUGUCAGGGUGGAAUCGCGCGUGUGCGCGUUUAAAUCAAAGCGAACUCCGCUGAGCCCGGCGAUUCCUUCCUUCCUUCCUUCCUUGAGGCGGAAAGAGUGAGGAAAAAAAUCCCUUGCCGUCUAAUGAGCAAAGGGCUUUGCGGGGGGGGGGGAAGCCGCUGAAGCCUUCCUCCCGGUUUGAGGAGCCCUCCGUAAUCCCAUUUCUCGCCCCCGGGGCGUGUCCUGGGCCCCCCCUUCCCACGAGGGGCGGGAACACCCAGGGACCCCGGGGACAUAAAGGCAGAGCGAAGGGCGGCCGCCAAGGGACUGGGACGCUUAACCGAGGGGAUACAUUCCGUGGAGGAUUAAAGGACCCGCUGCCGUCGAGGACUAGGGCGGCUCGCUGCCUACGUCGCGGAGGGAAAUUCGAACCCGCG